AUACGAACGAUUUUGAGCUUUCCCGUUUGUUUCAUUCAUGCAGUUCUCCGAGGGUAAUUUUAUAUCGGUUUCAAUUCUAUUUUUGGCGCUCCUGCUAUUAUGAGUGGCGGUAGCCACAUACGCAAGUCACCUAUCCUCCAACAAUUGGCAACACAGCACAGCCCGUCUGAGGCACCGCAUAACUACACGUAUCAUUUAUUACGUAGAGGUCGUGCGAUCAACGCUUCGAGCUGAGUUAGUGCGUUCUUGAGUAUCAGCACGGGUGACAUCUUCGGCCGGUCUUGCCGCUCACCUUCACAUCACAAUGCUAUUCUUAUACGUGCUUUUCAUUUCUCAGACGUUCGGCUUACUGGUGCCCGGAGAAGAUGACAUGGAUUCACCUGCUCCACAUUUAGGACCCCUCAUGAAUCGUUUACCGUACCUCACUCCCCUUUUCGCUUACAACAUCAUCUGGAUAAUCAUGGAAUUCGCAAAGUUUAUUUUUGUUUGUUAACUGCCUUUGGUUUCUCAGUAUGUUUUAUAAUAGAGCCUUUAAACACAGGUGUAAUAUUUGAAAGAAAAUCCGAUGUAAUUUUGUCCACACACACAUGGACAGUAUCAGUUGAAUAUAAUUUAGAGCAAAUUAAUGUAGAAAAAAGCCAACUUUUGAUACAAAUACAAAAUCUUUCUGAUAUUAUUAAAAACUUUGACGAGGAAGGUGAAAUUAAAAAUCGUUUUAGCACAUUAUUGUCAUCAUUAAAUGCAACGGUUGAAAGUCUAGACAACGAAAUAUCGUCAAUACUAAGUUUUAUUCCAAACGAAAGGCAGAAAAGAUCGUUCAAUGUCGGCGGAAAGUAGGGUAGAAAUGGGAAUCUUGGGCCAGUAAAUUAUCCAACAGCGUUGCAUGAUUGUGCAGAAAAAUAUGAAUUAAAUUACAGUGUUGUAUAGGGAUUAUUAUUCAAUAUGGCAACGCUGUAAAUGUAAAGUAUUGCAUAUUGCCCCUUCAAAAUGCGGGUUAUGCAAUCGUGUAAGAAUGCCCCUUCAUUUUGCGGGUUAUGCAACGGUGUAUAUUUCAAGAUGGCGCAGCAACGUUGCCGGAUGGUGGACUUAAAUAAAUGAAUUAUUUAUUGGUGAAAUUUUGCAACAUCGCAUUUUUACAGUGUUGC
Molecule: long non-coding RNA, 1145 nt
Filed under: Bemisia tabaci
Lineage: Eukaryota; Metazoa; Arthropoda; Insecta; Hemiptera; Aleyrodidae
Description: lncRNA ENSASIAIIG010020
Source: RNAcentral